This is a long non-coding RNA of Micropterus dolomieu (smallmouth bass), 524 nucleotides long. RefSeq lists it as uncharacterized. The record is from RefSeq and is a predicted model, not a curated record. NCBI's taxonomy places the organism in Eukaryota, Metazoa, Chordata, Actinopteri, Centrarchiformes, Centrarchidae. The transcript has 6 exons.
UUGUGUGUGAGAAACGGGGAAAGUGAUGGGAAAAAAAAUAUUUCUCUCUCUGUCUUUUUCUGUUUCUCCGACUCUCAGUUGUGUUGAAGAUGGGACAGCUCACUGUUGUCGCUGUUUUGGCAGUGCUCAUUACCCUUUUCAUGGAAACUGCAGCAAAUCCAUUUGUUUACAACUAUGAAGGCCUACGAAUUGGAGGGCUGGUCUUUACCGGUUUGCUGGUGGCUGGAGCACUCGGCUUCUUAUUUUAUAACACCUGCCACAGGAGGAACAAAAAAGGGGAAGACAGCAGUGAAAUCUGAUAUCGAGCCUGAGAAACCGGUUUCAGCCAGGAGGAAGAGCUGCCAGGUGGAGAAACUGGGUGUGUGUUGUUGGGGUUUGGAGGAAACACACCAGCUCAGAUGAUUAUAACCUUUUCAGACCCUUGUGAAGAAACACCACUUAUUUAAAGACAGAGUAAAUUAUUGCUUAAACUAUGAAAGAUGUGAAAGCACACUCACAGAUUGUCAUUUCAUGAGUAAUAUGAA